Molecule: ribosomal RNA, 478 nt
Filed under: uncultured bacterium
Lineage: Bacteria
Description: partial 16S ribosomal RNA
Rfam family: Bacterial small subunit ribosomal RNA
Source: RNAcentral
GACGAACGCUGGCGGCGUGCUUAACACAUGCAAGUCGAACGGUAAGGCCCUUCGGGGUACACGAGUGGCGAACGGGUGAGUAACACGUGGGUGAUCUGCCCUGCACCUCGGGAUAAGCCUGGGAAACUGGGUCUAAUACCGGAUAGGACCACUGCCUGCAUGGGUGGUGGUGGAAAGCUUUUGCGGUGUGGGAUGGGCCGGCGGCCUAUCAGCUUGUUGGUGGGGUGAUGGCCUACCAAGGCGACGACGGGUAGCCGGCCUGAGAGGGUGACCGGCCACACUGGGACUGAGAUACGGCCCAGACUCCUACGGGAGGCAGCAGUGGGGAAUAUUGCACAAUGGGCGCAAGCCUGAUGCAGCGACGCCGCGUGAGGGAUGACGGCCUUCGGGUUGUAAACCUCUUUCAGCACCGACGAAGCGCAAGUGACGGUAGGUGCAGAAGAAGGACCGGCCAACUACGUGCCAGCCGCCGCAGUAA